UACAGAGGCCCCAAGCGUUACUGAGAAUCACUGGGUUUAAAGGGUGCGUAGGUGGUCCGUUAAGUCCGUUGUGAAAUCCCUGGGCUCAACCCAGGAAAUGCUUCGGAUACUGGCGGACUUGAGGCUAGUAGGGGUCACUGGAACUGACGGUGGAGCGGUGAAAUGCGUAGAUAUCGUCAGGAACGCCAAUGGUGAAGACAGGUGACUGGGCUAGUCCUGACACUGAGGCACGAAAGCGUGGGGAUCAAACGGG
Molecule: ribosomal RNA, 253 nt
Filed under: uncultured bacterium
Lineage: Bacteria
Description: partial 16S ribosomal RNA
Rfam family: Bacterial small subunit ribosomal RNA
Source: RNAcentral